Molecule: ribosomal RNA, 331 nt
Filed under: Pseudomonas aeruginosa
Lineage: Bacteria; Pseudomonadati; Pseudomonadota; Gammaproteobacteria; Pseudomonadales; Pseudomonadaceae
Description: bacterial LSU rRNA
Rfam family: Bacterial large subunit ribosomal RNA
Source: RNAcentral
GAAUGGGGAACCACCUAGGAUAACCUAGUAUCUUGUACUGAAUCCAUAGGUGCAAGGAGGCGAACCAGGGAACUGAAACAUCUAAGUACCCUGAGGAAAAGAAAUCAACCGAGAUUCCCUUAGUAGUGGCGAGCGAACGGGGAUUAGCCCUUAAGCUCAUUGAUUUUAGCGGAACGCUCUGGAAAGUGCGGCCAUAGUGGUGAUAGCCCGUACGCGAAAGGAUCUUUGAAGUGAAAUCGAGUAGGACGGAGCACGAGAAACUUUUGUCUGAACAUGGGGGGGACCAUCCUCCAAGGCUAAAUACUACUGACUGACCGAUAGUGAACCAGUA